RNAcentral lists this ribosomal RNA (2931 nucleotides) under Escherichia coli. Its description in RNAcentral is "23S ribosomal RNA". It matches the Rfam family "Bacterial large subunit ribosomal RNA". The record is from RNAcentral. Lineage: Bacteria; Pseudomonadati; Pseudomonadota; Gammaproteobacteria; Enterobacterales; Enterobacteriaceae.
GGGUUGUGAGGUUAAGCGACUAAGCGUACACGGUGGAUGCCCUGGCAGUCAGAGGCGAUGAAGGACGUGCUAAUCUGCGAUAAGCGUCGGUAAGGUGAUAUGAACCGUUAUAACCGGCGAUUUCCGAAUGGGGAAACCCAGUGUGUUUCGACACACUAUCAUUAACUGAAUCCAUAGGUUAAUGAGGCGAACCGGGGGAACUGAAACAUCUAAGUACCCCGAGGAAAAGAAAUCAACCGAGAUUCCCCCAGUAGCGGCGAGCGAACGGGGAGCAGCCCAGAGCCUGAAUCAGUGUGUGUGUUAGUGGAAGCGUCUGGAAAGGCGCGCGAUACAGGGUGACAGCCCCGUACACAAAAAUGCACAUGCUGUGAGCUCGAUGAGUAGGGCGGGACACGUGGUAUCCUGUCUGAAUAUGGGGGGACCAUCCUCCAAGGCUAAAUACUCCUGACUGACCGAUAGUGAACCAGUACCGUGAGGGAAAGGCGAAAAGAACCCCGGCGAGGGGAGUGAAAAAGAACCUGAAACCGUGUACGUACAAGCAGUGGGAGCACGCUUAGGCGUGUGACUGCGUACCUUUUGUAUAAUGGGUCAGCGACUUAUAUUCUGUAGCAAGGUUAACCGAAUAGGGGAGCCGAAGGGAAACCGAGUCUUAACUGGGCGUUAAGUUGCAGGGUAUAGACCCGAAACCCGGUGAUCUAGCCAUGGGCAGGUUGAAGGUUGGGUAACACUAACUGGAGGACCGAACCGACUAAUGUUGAAAAAUUAGCGGAUGACUUGUGGCUGGGGGUGAAAGGCCAAUCAAACCGGGAGAUAGCUGGUUCUCCCCGAAAGCUAUUUAGGUAGCGCCUCGUGAAUUCAUCUCCGGGGGUAGAGCACUGUUUCGGCAAGGGGGUCAUCCCGACUUACCAACCCGAUGCAAACUGCGAAUACCGGAGAAUGUUAUCACGGGAGACACACGGCGGGUGCUAACGUCCGUCGUGAAGAGGGAAACAACCCAGACCGCCAGCUAAGGUCCCAAAGUCAUGGUUAAGUGGGAAACGAUGUGGGAAGGCCCAGACAGCCAGGAUGUUGGCUUAGAAGCAGCCAUCAUUUAAAGAAAGCGUAAUAGCUCACUGGUCGAGUCGGCCUGCGCGGAAGAUGUAACGGGGCUAAACCAUGCACCGAAGCUGCGGCAGCGACGCUUAUGCGUUGUUGGGUAGGGGAGCGUUCUGUAAGCCUGCGAAGGUGUGCUGUGAGGCAUGCUGGAGGUAUCAGAAGUGCGAAUGCUGACAUAAGUAACGAUAAAGCGGGUGAAAAGCCCGCUCGCCGGAAGACCAAGGGUUCCUGUCCAACGUUAAUCGGGGCAGGGUGAGUCGACCCCUAAGGCGAGGCCGAAAGGCGUAGUCGAUGGGAAACAGGUUAAUAUUCCUGUACUUGGUGUUACUGCGAAGGGGGGACGGAGAAGGCUAUGUUGGCCGGGCGACGGUUGUCCCGGUUUAAGCGUGUAGGCUGGUUUUCCAGGCAAAUCCGGAAAAUCAAGGCUGAGGCGUGAUGACGAGGCACUACGGUGCUGAAGCAACAAAUGCCCUGCUUCCAGGAAAAGCCUCUAAGCAUCAGGUAACAUCAAAUCGUACCCCAAACCGACACAGGUGGUCAGGUAGAGAAUACCAAGGCGCUUGAGAGAACUCGGGUGAAGGAACUAGGCAAAAUGGUGCCGUAACUUCGGGAGAAGGCACGCUGAUAUGUAGGUGAAGUCCCUCGCGGAUGGAGCUGAAAUCAGUCGAAGAUACCAGCUGGCUGCAACUGUUUAUUAAAAACACAGCACUGUGCAAACACGAAAGUGGACGUAUACGGUGUGACGCCUGCCCGGUGCCGGAAGGUUAAUUGAUGGGGUCAGCGCAAGCGAAGCUCUUGAUCGAAGCCCCGGUAAACGGCGGCCGUAACUAUAACGGUCCUAAGGUAGCGAAAUUCCUUGUCGGGUAAGUUCCGACCUGCACGAAUGGCGUAAUGAUGGCCAGGCUGUCUCCACCCGAGACUCAGUGAAAUUGAACUCGCUGUGAAGAUGCAGUGUACCCGCGGCAAGACGGAAAGACCCCGUGAACCUUUACUAUAGCUUGACACUGAACAUUGAGCCUUGAUGUGUAGGAUAGGUGGGAGGCUUAGAAGUGUGGACGCCAGUCUGCAUGGAGCCGACCUUGAAAUACCACCCUUUAAUGUUUGAUGUUCUAACGUUGACCCGUAAUCCGGGUUGCGGACAGUGUCUGGUGGGUAGUUUGACUGGGGCGGUCUCCUCCUAAAGAGUAACGGAGGAGCACGAAGGUUGGCUAAUCCUGGUCGGACAUCAGGAGGUUAGUGCAAUGGCAUAAGCCAGCUUGACUGCGAGCGUGACGGCGCGAGCAGGUGCGAAAGCAGGUCAUAGUGAUCCGGUGGUUCUGAAUGGAAGGGCCAUCGCUCAACGGAUAAAAGGUACUCCGGGGAUAACAGGCUGAUACCGCCCAAGAGUUCAUAUCGACGGCGGUGUUUGGCACCUCGAUGUCGGCUCAUCACAUCCUGGGGCUGAAGUAGGUCCCAAGGGUAUGGCUGUUCGCCAUUUAAAGUGGUACGCGAGCUGGGUUUAGAACGUCGUGAGACAGUUCGGUCCCUAUCUGCCGUGGGCGCUGGAGAACUGAGGGGGGCUGCUCCUAGUACGAGAGGACCGGAGUGGACGCAUCACUGGUGUUCGGGUUGUCAUGCCAAUGGCACUGCCCGGUAGCUAAAUGCGGAAGAGAUAAGUGCUGAAAGCAUCUAAGCACGAAACUUGCCCCGAGAUGAGUUCUCCCUGACUCCUUGAGAGUCCUGAAGGAACGUUGAAGACGACGACGUUGAUAGGCCGGGUGUGUAAGCGCAGCGAUGCGUUGAGCUAACCGGUACUAAUGAACCGUGAGGCUUAACCUUACAACGCCGAAGGUGUUU